AGUGAACGCUGGCGGUAGGCCUAACACAUGCAAGUCGAACGGCAGCACAGUAAGAGCUUGCUCUUACGGGUGGCGAGUGGCGGACGGGUGAGGAAUACAUCGGAAUCUACUUUUUCGUGGGGGAUAACGUAGGGAAACUUACGCUAAUACCGCAUACGACCUACGGGUGAAAGCAGGGGAUCUUCGGACCUUGCGCGAUUGAAUGAGCCGAUGUCGGAUUAGCUAGUUGGCGGGGUAAAGGCCCACCAAGGCGACGAUCCGUAGCUGGUCUGAGAGGAUGAUCAGCCACACUGGAACUGAGACACGGUCCAGACUCCUACGGGAGGCAGCAGUGGGGAAUAUUGGACAAUGGGCGCAAGCCUGAUCCAGCCGUACCGCGUGGGUGAAGAAGGCCUUCGGGUUGUAAAGCCCUUUUGUUGGGAAAGAAAAGCAGCAGGUUAAUACCCCGCUGUUCUGACGGUACCCAAAGAAUAAGCACCGGCUAACUUCGU
This 491-nucleotide ribosomal RNA is filed under the name uncultured bacterium. Its description in RNAcentral is "partial 16S ribosomal RNA". It matches the Rfam family "Bacterial small subunit ribosomal RNA", at positions 29 to 506 of the family's 1533-position model. The record is from RNAcentral.